This 732-nucleotide ribosomal RNA is filed under the name uncultured bacterium. RNAcentral describes it as "bacterial SSU rRNA". It matches the Rfam family "Bacterial small subunit ribosomal RNA", at positions 35 to 795 of the family's 1533-position model. The record is from RNAcentral.
GCUGGCGGCAGGCCUAACACAUGCAAGUCGAACGGAGUUAUAUUGUAGCUUGCUAUGGUAUAACUUAGUGGCAGACGGGUGAGUAAUGUAUAGGAAUCUACCUAGUAGUACGGAAUAAUUGUUGGAAACGGCAACUAAUACCGUAUACGCCCUACGGGGGAAAAAUUUAUUGCUAUUAGAUGAGCCUAUAUUAGAUUAGCUAGUUGGUGGAGUAAUAGCCUACCAAGGCAAUGAUCUAUAGCUGAUCUGAGAGGAUGAUCAGCCACACUGGAACUGAGAUACGGUCCAGACUCCUACGGGAGGCAGCAGUGGGGAAUAUUGGACAAUGGGCGAAAGCCUGAUCCAGCCAUGCCGCAUGAGUGAAGAAGGCCUUUGGGUUGUAAAGCUCUUUUAGUGAGGAAGAUAAUGACGGUACUCACAGAAGAAGUCCUGGCUAACUCCGUGCCAGCAGCCGCGGUAAUACGGAGAGGGCUAGCGUUAUUCGGAAUUAUUGGGCGUAAAGGGCGCGUAGGCGGAUUAGUAAGUUAAAAGUGAAAUCCCAAGGCUCAACCUUGGAAUUGCUUUUAAAACUGCUAAUCUAGAGAUUGAAAGAGGAUAGAGGAAUUCCUAGUGUAGAGGUGAAAUUCGUAAAUAUUAGGAGGAACACCAGUGGCGAAGGCGUCUAUCUGGUUCAAAUCUGACGCUGAGGCGCGAAAGCGUGGGGAGCAAACAGGAUUAGAUACCCUGGUAGUC